UACAAACUAAAACAGCUUAUAAUCUUAAGUGUUUAGUUUUGCUAGUCCUGUAGCUAGCCAGUAACAACUGAAGGAACCACGUUAGUGGUUAAUGGCAAAGCUGGUUUUGCUGUACACGAUGUUAGUAACUGACAAAACCCCAGAAGCAAGUGAAGAAUGUACAGAGCGCAUCUUGGUUCUUGGCCGCCAGGGAAGGAAGGUGUAGGAGGGCUACAAAACAGAAGGAGGAAGGUAAUAACUUCCAAAUCACACUAAUGAUUGCAUCACAGAGUUGUCUGCUAACUUUGGAGAAAACACAAUCCCUUGUUUAAAUCCAGGUAAAAUGGAAGUGAUGAACUGUCUACUCUGUGGUGAGCUCAAGUUUAAUUAUAUUGAAGUGUGCCACCUAAGUUAAAAGGAAAUGAAAUCUUUAUCCUUGGAAUUUCUUUGUGUGCAUAUCCAGGUAUAAAGCAAGGCUGUAUUGUACCAGAUGCUUGGAAUGAGGCUGAAGGAAAGGUUUGUCCCAACAGCUUUAUAACCCAAGUGUAAUAAAAGCAGUGAAGGAUGCUCGUAGAACCCACAUAAUGACAGAAACAGGAGUAUUGACACGGUAAUGAUAGCAUUAGUGUAUUAGCAGCACAAUAAAUGUUUACAAAACAUUUUAUCAGAACUUCCAUGGAAGCCAAAGAAAAUGUUAAAAUUUCUGCUGCUCCUGUUCUCGAAAUAAAGCUUUACAGGCAGGUAUUUGGAGAUCGGGGGGGAACAAAACUAACAAGAGAUCAGCAAACUCACAUUUAAAUGGAUGUGAUGUACCUGAUUUAGAAAUAAAGGUGAAGGAAAAACAAUACCAAUUCUAAGAUUACUCUACAUAUAAGAAUAGCAGAUGGGGACACAAACAAACAAUCUAUGCAGUUUUAUGUGAUUCUAAUGAAUAAACCACAGAGAUUAAAAGUCAGGAGGUGACUUUCUGAAGAGUGAAAUUAAGUUAACAGUAAAGACAGCCUGAGAGAAAGUAACAGUAAGUAAUCACAUUAUGUUGGUGUCAUGCCUGAUUUCAACUCAGUAAUUUUGUUGCCCAAAUUGGAGUCCUGCCAGGUUUAGAGAGUUUAAUCUUCAUUGUACCCUCAUGGUUUGUCACCUGUAUGAGCUCUUCAGUGUUUUGAUUGUGCUGUACAUGGUUAUAGAAUCAUAGAAUACUUUAGGUUGGAAGAGACAAUGUAAUAAUUGACAUGUUUUUGUGAGACAUUUUCUGCCUUUCUCACCUCAUCUUGUUGCCUAGACUACUGAUAUGCUAUCUCUAUGAACUGUAGUUAUGUGUAAACUCCUUUGAACAGAUAAAUUUGCCUGAUUCUGUGGACCAAACAUUGAGAAACAGAUCAUUUACUUUUUGUAUAUGCUUUCCCUUCCAACUCUUGGAUUAUUUUGCAAAAUCUACAGCUGAGUGUCACAUUCCUAUCGUGGUGUCAUUGCCCUUCUCCAACACACAGACAACACUGCUUGCUUUUACAUCACUUUUCUUUGCUGCUAUGUUCCAGUAUUAUUACAUCUCAGUAUACCACCCCCAUUGGAUCCCACUGAGACUGACUGUUUGGAUAAAGAGAAAGUUGGGGUUCUGU
This is a long non-coding RNA of Oxyura jamaicensis (ruddy duck), 1595 nucleotides long. RefSeq lists it as uncharacterized. The record is from RefSeq and is a predicted model, not a curated record. NCBI's taxonomy places the organism in Eukaryota, Metazoa, Chordata, Aves, Anseriformes, Anatidae. The transcript is spliced from 3 exons.